This is a non-coding RNA of Cinara cedri, 306 nucleotides long. Lineage: Eukaryota; Metazoa; Arthropoda; Insecta; Hemiptera; Aphididae. The record is from the annotation of a GenBank genome assembly.
AGAUGCGAAAUGGCGCCAGACCAAAGGGGUCACAGUUGUUGUGUCAAAUUUGUUGUUUUGUUUAAUAAAACUACAAAAUGUAUUAAUUAUUUUAAAAAUGUUUACUUUUAUUUUGUACCUUGUUUUUUUACUUCCUGAUGCAGUCCCAUUUAUUAUUUUUUAAUUUAAUGAUUAUGUAAUUAACCUCGCACCUGGAAAGUUUAUGUAAUAGUAUUCAAAGGUCUAGUAUUAAAGGAAUGUAUUAACUAAUUUCUAAAUUAAAAAAUUAAAUUUAAAUUUCAAUACUUUUUUGUUAUUGUUGAUAUG